UAGGGAAUGUUGCACAAUGGGCGAAAGCCUGAUGCAGCAACGCCGCGUGUGUGAUGAAGGCCUUCGGGUCGUAAAGCACUUUUCUGGGAGAUGAGAAAGGACAGUAUCCCAGGAAUAAGUCUCGGCUAACUACGUGCCAGCAGCCGCGGUAAAACGUAGGAGGCAAGCGUUAUCCGGAUUCACUGGGCGUAAAGCGCGUGCAGGCGGUGCGGUAAGUUGGGCGUGAAAUCUCCCGGCUCAACUGGGAGAGGUCGUCCAAUACUACCGUACUUGAGAGCAGAAGAGGAAGAUGGAAUUCCCGGUGUAGUGGUGAAAUGCGUAGAUAUCGGGAGGAACACCAGUGGCGAAGGCGAUCUUCUGGUCUGUUUCUGACGCUCAGACGCGACAGCUAGGGUAGUAAACGGGAUUAGAGACCCCGGUAAUCCUAGCCGUAAACGAUGUGAACUUGGCGUUGGUGGUUAAACUCCAUCAGUGCCGCAGCAAACGCGGUAAGUU
RNAcentral lists this ribosomal RNA (495 nucleotides) under uncultured Chloroflexota bacterium. Its description in RNAcentral is "bacterial SSU rRNA". It matches the Rfam family "Bacterial small subunit ribosomal RNA", at positions 355 to 866 of the family's 1533-position model. Lineage: Bacteria; Bacillati; Chloroflexota. The record is from RNAcentral.